Transfer RNA from Sulfolobus acidocaldarius DSM 639, 92 nucleotides. It matches the Rfam family "tRNA". Rfam says of the family: Transfer RNA (tRNA) molecules are approximately 80 nucleotides in length. The record is from Rfam. Lineage: Archaea; Thermoproteati; Thermoproteota; Thermoprotei; Sulfolobales; Sulfolobaceae.
GGGCCCGUAGCUUAGCCCGGUAGAGCGCCCGGCUCAUAAACUAUGUAUGUGGAGAGACCGGGUGGUCCGGGGUUCAAGUCCCCGCGGGCCCA